This is a long non-coding RNA of Peromyscus californicus insignis, 535 nucleotides long. RefSeq lists it as uncharacterized. The record is from RefSeq and is a predicted model, not a curated record. The transcript has 2 exons. NCBI's taxonomy places the organism in Eukaryota, Metazoa, Chordata, Mammalia, Rodentia, Cricetidae.
CUCAAACAGCAUAAGACGGAGCCGGGAAUUCAGGUUCAAAUCCUCACUCGGGCCGGUGUGGCGGCGCAGUCUUGUAACCCCAGCACUCGAGGUGGAGGCUGGGGGGUCAGGAGUUAAAGGAGAAUAAAAGCAUCCAACUAAAGAAUCCAGAGACCACUGGACAAAUGAAAAAUCUGAAGAGAAAGGAUGAAUCAAGAGAACAUGUCCUAAGAAGAAGAGUCAGUCGGCCAAAUGGAAUCACCCACUGCAAGCUGACUGACCUCAAAUCCUGGCUCGGAGCCCCAGACUAGCACACAUGCCACCAUCUUGCCCAAGUGGCUGCCCCUUCCCACCGGACAGCCACCUAAUAAUCCCAGCUAACCGAGAUGCACAAGAAAAUAGCAUGUCUUCCCACCUAUAUGAGGUAAAUAGCAUAUUCUAGCAAAAUGAGAUGCACCAGAAAAUGAAUUAUUCCACCGAUAUGAAAUGCAAAAGAUAACAUGUAAAUUCCACCUCUAUGAGAUUCACAAUACAACAGCCUGUGAUUCUGUGGGCA